RNAcentral lists this non-coding RNA (25 nucleotides) under Rattus norvegicus (Norway rat). The record is from RNAcentral. Lineage: Eukaryota; Metazoa; Chordata; Mammalia; Rodentia; Muridae.
GAAAGUCAGGUUUCCAGUCUCUCGC